RNAcentral lists this small RNA (29 nucleotides) under Bombyx mori (domestic silkworm). Its description in RNAcentral is "ovarian small RNA-19451". Lineage: Eukaryota; Metazoa; Arthropoda; Insecta; Lepidoptera; Bombycidae. The record is from RNAcentral.
UAAGUUAAGCUCGAUAAAGCCGAAGGUAU